GACGGAGGGUGCUAGCGUUUUUCGGAAUCACUGGGCGUAAAGGGCGCGUAGGCGGCGAUGGCAGUCGGGUGUGAAAGCCCGGAGCUCAACUCCGGAAUGGCACUCGAGACGCCAUGGCUGGAGGCCGGAAGAGGAGGGUGGAAUACCCAGUGUAGAGGUGAAAUUCGUAGAUAUUGGGUGGAACACCGGUGGCGAAAGCGGCUCUCUGGUCCGGACCUGACGCUGAGGCGCGAAAGCGUGGGGAGCAAACAGG
Molecule: ribosomal RNA, 253 nt
Filed under: uncultured bacterium
Lineage: Bacteria
Description: partial 16S ribosomal RNA
Rfam family: Bacterial small subunit ribosomal RNA
Source: RNAcentral